RNAcentral lists this ribosomal RNA (468 nucleotides) under uncultured bacterium. Its description in RNAcentral is "partial 16S ribosomal RNA". It matches the Rfam family "Bacterial small subunit ribosomal RNA", at positions 28 to 507 of the family's 1533-position model. The record is from RNAcentral.
GACGAACGCUGGCGGCGGGCUUAACACAUGCAAGUCGAACGGAAAGGCCCUGCUUUUGUGGGGUGCUCGAGUGGCGAACGGGUGAGUAACACGUGAGUAACCUGCCCUUGACUUUGGGAUAACUUCAGGAAACUGGGGCUAAUACCGGAUAGGAGCUCCUGCUGCAUGGUGGGGGUUGGAAAGUUUCGGCGGUUGGGGAUGGACUCGCGGCUUAUCAGCUUGUUGGUGGGGGAGUGGCUUACCAAGGCUUUGACGGGUAGCCGGCCUGUGAGGGUGACCGGCCACCUUGGUACUGAGAUACGGCCCAGACUCCUACGUGAGGCAGCAGGGGGGAAUCUUGCACAAUGGGAGCAAGCCGGAUGAAGCAACGCCGGGUGUGGGAUGACGGCCUUCGGGGUGUAAACCGCUUUAGCCUGUGACGAAGCGUGAGUGACGGUAAUGGGUAAAGAAGCACCGGCUAACUACGUG